Molecule: non-coding RNA, 45 nt
Organism: Trichobilharzia regenti
Lineage: Eukaryota; Metazoa; Platyhelminthes; Trematoda; Strigeidida; Schistosomatidae
Source: Rfam
AUCCAGCUGACGAGUCCCAAAUAAGACGGAAUGCGCAUCCUGGAU